CAUCGUGGUUUAUUUUCAGUAAAUCUAAUUGUAUUCAACAAUGGUUACAUGUUCUGUGAGUGAUUGUGGUGUUAAUAAUAGAAAUAAUCCUGAAAAUUGCACAUUUCACAGAUUCCCUCUAGAUACUAUACUAAGAGGAAAAUGGUUGAGAUUAAUUGGGCGCGUUGGUUGGAAUCCAAAGAAGAACUCUACCAUUUGCAGCAAACAUUUCCCGGACGAAUAUAAAAGAAAAAGACGAAUAAAUACAGUUUUAGUUAAAGGAGCCAUUCCAACUUUAUUUGUACCAGGACAUAUAAAAGAGAGAAUCCCGUCAUCGUAUAUCAAUCGGGACAUAGCUCUACCUUCGAUAUCACAAGCUCCA
Long non-coding RNA from Pieris napi, 361 nucleotides. RefSeq lists it as uncharacterized. NCBI's taxonomy places the organism in Eukaryota, Metazoa, Arthropoda, Insecta, Lepidoptera, Pieridae. The record is from RefSeq and is a predicted model, not a curated record. The transcript has 3 exons.